UUUGCAUAGCUUGACUUCAGAAUUGCUAAUGCGGUGAGCUUUUCUGACAUACCUGUGUAGGGAGGACUAAGCUUUUAUUCUAUCUUCUUAGGUUCUGUUUCUGAGUUCUGUAAGUGAAACUGACAGA
This is a small nucleolar RNA of Talpa occidentalis (Iberian mole), 127 nucleotides long. RefSeq annotates it as small nucleolar RNA SNORA49. Lineage: Eukaryota; Metazoa; Chordata; Mammalia; Eulipotyphla; Talpidae. The transcript has a single exon. The record is from RefSeq and is a predicted model, not a curated record.